RNAcentral lists this ribosomal RNA (289 nucleotides) under uncultured Pseudomonadota bacterium. RNAcentral describes it as "uncultured proteobacterium partial 16S ribosomal RNA". The record is from RNAcentral. Lineage: Bacteria; Pseudomonadati; Pseudomonadota.
CUACUCGGGUUUCUAAUCCUGUUUGAUCCCCACGCUUUCGCGCCUCAGCGUCAGUUGCCGUCCAGAUGGCCGCCUUCGCCACCGGUGUUCCUCCUAAUAUCUACGAAUUUCACCUCUACAUUAGGAAUUCCGCCAUCCCCUCCGGCACUCCAGCUUCACAGUUUCAAAGGCAAUUCUUGGGUUGAGCCCAAGGAUUUCACCCCUGACUUGAGAAGCCGCCUACGCGCGCUUUACGCCCAGUGAUUCCGAACAACGCUAGCACCCUUCGUAUUACCGCGGCUGCUGGCAC